AUGGUCGCCGUAGUUGAACUUCCAUGGACAAGCUGUCAUGUCUACGAACACAUGCAUCGCAUACCGAUCACUAGAAGGAGUAGUGGAGAAAGCUAG
RNAcentral lists this ribosomal RNA (96 nucleotides) under Triticum aestivum (bread wheat). RNAcentral describes it as "partial small subunit ribosomal RNA". The record is from RNAcentral. Lineage: Eukaryota; Viridiplantae; Streptophyta; Magnoliopsida; Poales; Poaceae.